Molecule: ribosomal RNA, 1550 nt
Filed under: Enterobacter bugandensis
Lineage: Bacteria; Pseudomonadati; Pseudomonadota; Gammaproteobacteria; Enterobacterales; Enterobacteriaceae
Description: bacterial SSU rRNA
Rfam family: Bacterial small subunit ribosomal RNA
Source: RNAcentral
AAAUUGAAGAGUUUGAUCAUGGCUCAGAUUGAACGCUGGCGGCAGGCCUAACACAUGCAAGUCGAACGGUAGCACAGAGAGCUUGCUCUCGGGUGACGAGUGGCGGACGGGUGAGUAAUGUCUGGGAAACUGCCUGAUGGAGGGGGAUAACUACUGGAAACGGUAGCUAAUACCGCAUAACGUCGCAAGACCAAAGAGGGGGACCUUCGGGCCUCUUGCCAUCAGAUGUGCCCAGAUGGGAUUAGCUAGUAGGUGGGGUAACGGCUCACCUAGGCGACGAUCCCUAGCUGGUCUGAGAGGAUGACCAGCCACACUGGAACUGAGACACGGUCCAGACUCCUACGGGAGGCAGCAGUGGGGAAUAUUGCACAAUGGGCGCAAGCCUGAUGCAGCCAUGCCGCGUGUAUGAAGAAGGCCUUCGGGUUGUAAAGUACUUUCAGCGGGGAGGAAGGUGUUGAGGUUAAUAACCUCAGCAAUUGACGUUACCCGCAGAAGAAGCACCGGCUAACUCCGUGCCAGCAGCCGCGGUAAUACGGAGGGUGCAAGCGUUAAUCGGAAUUACUGGGCGUAAAGCGCACGCAGGCGGUCUGUCAAGUCGGAUGUGAAAUCCCCGGGCUCAACCUGGGAACUGCAUUCGAAACUGGCAGGCUAGAGUCUUGUAGAGGGGGGUAGAAUUCCAGGUGUAGCGGUGAACUGCGUAGAGAUCUGGAGGAAUACCGGUGGCGAAGGCGGCCCCCUGGACAAAGACUGACGCUCAGGUGCGAAAGCGUGGGGAGCAAACAGGAUUAGAUACCCUGGUAGUCCACGCCGUAAACGAUGUCGACUUGGAGGUUGUGCCCUUGAGGCGUGGCUUCCGGAGCUAACGCGUUAAGUCGACCGCCUGGGGAGUACGGCCGCAAGGUUAAAACUCAAAUGAAUUGACGGGGGCCCGCACAAGCGGUGGAGCAUGUGGUUUAAUUCGAUGCAACGCGAAGAACCUUACCUACUCUUGACAUCCAGAGAACUUUCCAGAGAUGGAUUGGUGCCUUCGGGAACUCUGAGACAGGUGCUGCAUGGCUGUCGUCAGCUCGUGUUGUGAAAUGUUGGGUUAAGUCCCGCAACGAGCGCAACCCUUAUCCUUUGUUGCCAGCGGUCCGGCCGGGAACUCAAAGGAGACUGCCAGUGAUAAACUGGAGGAAGGUGGGGAUGACGUCAAGUCAUCAUGGCCCUUACGAGUAGGGCUACACACGUGCUACAAUGGCGCAUACAAAGAGAAGCGACCUCGCGAGAGCAAGCGGACCUCAUAAAGUGCGUCGUAGUCCGGAUUGGAGUCUGCAACUCGACUCCAUGAAGUCGGAAUCGCUAGUAAUCGUGGAUCAGAAUGCCACGGUGAAUACGUUCCCGGGCCUUGUACACACCGCCCGUCACACCAUGGGAGUGGGUUGCAAAAGAAGUAGGUAGCUUAACCUUCGGGAGGGCGCUUACCACUUUGUGAUUCAUGACUGGGGUGAAGUCGUAACAAGGUAACCGUAGGGGAACCUGCGGUUGGAUCACCUCCUUACCUUAAAGAA